GUCACUUUGCCGGAGUGGUUAACGGGAUCGCCUGCUAUCUAAUAGCUGUAAGCGGUUGGGCUUUGCCCGCGUGUGUUCGAAUCGCACAGGUGACG
This 95-nucleotide transfer RNA is filed under the name Panus rudis PR-1116 ss-1. Its description in RNAcentral is "tRNA-Ser". It matches the Rfam family "tRNA". From Rfam's summary of the family: Transfer RNA (tRNA) molecules are approximately 80 nucleotides in length. Their secondary structure includes four short double-helical elements and three loops (D, anti-codon, and T loops). Further hydrogen bonds mediate the characteristic L-shaped molecular structure. tRNAs have two regions of fundamental functional importance: the anti-codon, which is responsible for specific mRNA codon recognition, and the 3' end, to which the tRNAs corresponding amino acid is attached (by aminoacyl-tRNA synthetases). tRNAs cope with the degeneracy of the genetic code in two manners: having more than one tRNA (with a specific anti-codon) for a particular amino acid; and 'wobble' base-pairing, i.e. permitting non-standard base-pairing at the 3rd anti-codon position. Lineage: Eukaryota; Fungi; Basidiomycota; Agaricomycetes; Polyporales; Panaceae. The record is from RNAcentral.